Xiphophorus maculatus (southern platyfish) is the source of this 7542-nucleotide RNA transcript. RefSeq lists it as uncharacterized. The record is from RefSeq and is a predicted model, not a curated record. Lineage: Eukaryota; Metazoa; Chordata; Actinopteri; Cyprinodontiformes; Poeciliidae. The transcript has 3 exons.
UUAAGUUGUUUGGUUCACGUUUUAAGAUUUGUGUUAAAUGAUUGUAUUUUAUUUCGUGUCAAAUAAUUUUUUGUCGAAAGGUAUCGCGAGAUUUGUGUACAUGUGUGAGGCUGCGAGACUUAAGUAACCAUAGAAGAAGCAGAAGCUGGUGCCAGAGCUAUGUGUAGCAGCCUCGUGUCCUGUCGUUGUCAAGGUAUUUUGUAUUUAUGUUUGUAAUGUUUUGUGAAUUUAUUGGUUAUGGUGUUUUAAUUACUUAAUAUUUUGGUUUAGAGUGUACAACGACGAAUCAUUCUGUUAAAGACCUCCGAAGUGGCAGGCGGCCACGAGUUUUCACGGCAAAAAUUAAAGAGCCCGUCUUAAGAAAGCCGUGCCAGAGUUGUCACUUUGGAGCUACAGUGAAAACUCGCCCAGCCAGCGCCGGCAAGAAGCUCGUUAAAAAGACGGCAGCUGCAGUGAGUGACGGUACCGUGGUGUAACACAAGAGGGCGCCAUUUGACAAGCUCACCGUUCACAAGAAGUCAAGCACAGCAGCAACAACCUUGUACAACUGAAGUAAGGUGGAAAUUAAGAAAGGACAGUGUUAAGAGCAAAAUAAGAGUGGUUAAAGUGAAGUUUAAAGCCACAAUAAGUUUCUAUAACAUUUGUCAAAAGGUUACUUAUUUUCUACUGAACUUCGAAGUGAUGUGUUGUUGUUAAGAAAAGAGUGUUGUGUAUUUAUCUUGAGGUCAAAUUAAGUGUGAAGUUAACAAAGUUCUUUAAGUUGAAAUACAUCUGUAUUAAGAGUGAAGCUCAUUAUAGGUACAGUAAUAUCAAAGUAAUAUUCAAGUCACAUAAGUUAGAAUUUGUAAGGAGUGUUUUGCAAUUUAAAUAGAGCAUUGAGUGACAUUUAACCAGACUUAUAAGAUGACUGACAAAGAUCAUAAAGAGCUCUAUGCUGUAUCAUGUACUGAAGUGGAGGAAAAUGAUACUGAGCAAAUCUCAGAACCACAGACUGUUCGAAGAGGUGAAAGAGUUAGAACAUUAACUGAAAAAGGUAAAGAGCUUCAAGAGGAGAAACUUAAAACGCUUCAACACAGAUAUGCAGUUGGUUUUGAAAAAUGGAGAUAUGAAGCAAGACUGAGCAAAGUAAUACUAAGAAAAGAAGCUUCAGACAGUGAAUUAAAGGAGCUGAUUAACAAUGUAAACAUCACCUGCAGAGAUAUGCAAACCAUUUAUGAAGAAAUACGACAAAUACAAACUCCUGAUGCAGAUGCAAGGCGCAAAGUAGAUGCAUGUACAUCACUUUCUGCAUUCAUUGUCAGAAGAGCUGAGAAACAACUGCAAGGAGACUUUGCAGAAGGUGACGAAGAGCCAUGGCCAGAUUUUGGGUCAUGCUUAGGAUCUGAAAGUACGACAUCAAGGUCAAAAUCCAGAAGGUCUAAAAGUAGCUCAGAAAGCUCACAAACAACCAAGAGACUGGAAGCAGAGGCUGAGGCAGCUGCAUCACAAGAAAUAUUAGCAGUUAUGGAAGAGCAAGAAAAGGAAACAAUUGAGUUACAAAAACUGGAACGUGAAAAUUUGGAAAAGCAGCAAGCAAUGGAAGAGCAGCGAAGAAAGAUUAAACGCUUGGAAGAAGUUAAAAAAUUUAAUGCUGCAAAAGCACGAGCAAAGGUUUAUGAUGAAGCUGAAAGUAUUUCUGCAAGUCAGAGUUCAUCACAGAGCAUUAAAGCAGAAAGUGAAAUCCAAGCAAUCCCUGUCAGAGCACACAGUUCUUCUCCAGCUCUAAAUGCUACUCAGUUCCAUAAUGCUACAAUUGUUGGAUCUGUGCCACAUAUUCCUACAGUAAUAAACCAAACUCAACAAAGUCCUGGUGAACAACCUAAGGCCAUCAUAAGCCAAACACUUAAAGCAUCAAGUCCACCAUUCACCCCUCAAGCCACACAGGUUCCCUCUGUUGCAGCUCAACAACAGUCAAAUUACGAGCUAGUUGGAAUACUAGCAGAAGCAAUAAGUGCUAAUCGUCUUCCAACUCCUGAACCGACAUUGUUCACUGGUGAUCCUUUAAAGUUCAAAGAUUGGCAGUUGUCAUUUGAAACCCUGAUAGAAAGGAAAAACAUUCCAAAGAAUGAGAGACUCUAUUAUCUCAGAAAGUAUCUUGGUGGAACCGCGAAGAGAUCAGUGGAAGGUUUUCUUCUAGUGGGGACAGAUGAAGCAUAUGACUCAGCUUGGAAAGUGCUGGAAAAACGUUUUGGAGAUCUAUUCACCAUAGGAAAAUGCUUCAGAGAUAAGCUUCACAGUUGGCCUAAAAUAAACCCUAAGGAUGGAAGUGAGUUGAGAGAAUUUGCUGACUUCCUGAAGAAUUGUGAAGCUGCAAUGUUGCACAUAAGGUCAUUGGAGGUUCUCAAUGAUUGUAUGGAAAUCCAGAAACUCUUGCUAAAACUUCCAGAUUGGUUGACCACAAGAUGGAACCGGACAGCCAUGAAAAUAAGAAGAGCUAGUGAUGGAGAAUAUCCAUCUUUUCAUGUGUUUGCUGAUUUUGUAUCCACUGAAGCAGACUUAGCAUGUGAUCCCAUAGCAUCAAUGCAAGCUCUUAAAGGUUUGGAAAUAAGUAAACCCAAACAAUUACGCAACCAAGUCAUCCAAGCAAAAACACUAACAACAAACUCAAAUCACACAAAUACUGUAACCUGUCUUUUCUGCAAAAGAAAUGGUCACCCACUUGAUAAAUGUUUCAAAUUUAAAGAAACCCCACUCCAAGACCGUAUCAAGUUUGCACAAGCGGAAAGGCUGUGUUUUGGAUGUUUAAAGAGAGGACAUCAUUCCAAGAAGUGUGACAAAAGGAGCACAUGUGAAAAAUGUCAAAAGAGACAUCCAACAUGUCUGCACGAUGACACAUUCAUUGAGCGUAAAAAGGUAAUACCUGCAGUGACUGAAAAGUCUCAAGACAAGGACGAAGCUGACGCUAAAGAAGAAGACAAACCAACGGUUGCGAUCUCUAACAGAGUAACUCAAGCAACUUCAAGCACAUUGACAUCCUCUAUACUACCUGUAUGGGUUUCAUCAAAGAAUGACCCAGACAGAGAGGUUUUAGUUUAUGCACUCCUUGAUUCACAGAGUGAUACAUCCUUCAUUUUGAAUGAAGUAGCCCAAGAUCUUGACACAAAUAAAAGUAAAGUUAAUCUGCGCUUGUCAACUAUAUCUGCCAAGUCAACAGUUAUACCAUGUGACAAGCUGGUAAACCUUCAAGUUAGAGGAUAUAAGGACGAAAAGAGAAUUACAUUGCCACCAGUCUAUACAAGAGAGUUUAUCCCGGUCAACAGAUCACAUAUCCCAACGUCUGAAACCGCCUUAAAGUGGCCUCAUCUGGAAAAGCUGGCAGAUAAGUUACCUCCACUGCUUGAAUGCGAAGUUGGUCUACUUAUCGGCUAUAACUGUCAACAAGCCCUCCUACCACGUGAAGUUCUUGCAGGCAAAGAGAACCAACCUUACGCACAGUUAACUGAUCUCGGCUGGAGUAUAGUUGGUUGUUCGUCUCAAGUUCAAAAUCACAAUGAUAUCAUCGGUACAAGUCACAGAAUCAUUGUUCGUGAAGUAUUUCCUGUUUCACAACCAGCAGUUGAACUCAAGCAACAAGUGCAUUUUGUAUGCAGAACUCAAAUAAAGGAAGUCAGUCCAACUGAUGUGAUUAAGGCUUUGGAAUCCGAUUUCUCUGAACAUGCAACAGAUGACAAUCCAGUUUCACAGGACGACAUUUUGUUCAUGUCAAAGGUGACCAAAGGCAUAAAACAGAAGAAAGAUGGUCAUUACGAACUUCCGUUACCAUUCAAAACAGACAAUCCAAAUCUCCCAAAUAACAAGCAAAGUGCUGAACACAGAUUGUCUUCAUUGGAACGUCGACUCAAAAGGGAUGAGAAAUACUAUAAAGAUUAUGUUAAGUUCAUGAAUGAUAUUGUAACUCGCGGAGAUGCAGAAAAGGUGCCAGAACAAGAGCUGGACAACAAGACAGCAUGGUACAUCCCGCACCAUGGGGUUUACCACCCCCACAAACCUGAGAAAAUACGUGUGGUUUUUGAUUGUUCUGCAUGCUUCCAGGGAACAUCUCUAAACGAUCAUCUUUUGACUGGACCGGAUCUCACCAACACACUGGUCGGAGUGUUAUGCCGAUUUAGAAAGGGCCCCGUCGCCAUUAUGUGUGAUGUGGAAAGAAUGUUCCACCAAUUCCACGUCAUUAAGGAACAUCAAGAUUAUUUAAGAUUUCUUUGGUGGGACAAAGGUGAUUUGAACUCCGAACCUUCAGUUUACAGGAUGAAAGUACAUCUUUUUGGAGCAGCCUCAUCUCCUGGAUGUUGUAAUUUUGGACUCAAACACAUUGCAUCGCAAGGUAAAAACAAGUUCAGCAAAGAGACUGUUGAGUUCAUCCAAAGAGGUUUUUAUGUCGAUGAUGGACUUGCUAGUGUAACAUCAACAGCCAAAGCUAUACAGCUGGUCAAAGAGUCAAGGGAACUUUGCAAAACAGGCAAACUACAUCUGCAUAAAUUUGUAUCAAACAAUAAAGAAGUGCUUGCAACAAUUCCCCAAGAAGAACAAGCUCAGUCCAAAGAUCAGAACAUGGCUUUUGGAGAACUCCACAUUGAACGUGCACUUGGAGUACAAUGGUGCGUAGAAGCAGACGAAUUCCAGUUCAGAGUUCAAGUUAAAGAGCACCCAUUGACUAGAAGAGGGGUACUCUCGACUGUCGCUUCCAUCUAUGACCCUCUUGGGUUCGUCGCCCCAUUCACAUUGAUUGGAAAGCAAAUACUCCAAACAUUAUGUAAAAACAAGGUUAACUGGGAUGAUGAUCUUCCAGACCACAUUCUACCACGAUGGGAAGCAUGGUUGAGAGACCUGCCUAAGCUGGCAGCUCUGAAGAUUCCACGAAGCUACUCACAAGACAUCAACAUCAUACAGUAUGAAUUGCAUAACUUCUCGGAUGCGAGCCUCGACGGUUAUGGCGCAUGUUCAUACCUUAGAGCAAUAAGCAAGGAAGGACAGAUAAGCUGUUCACUCGUCAUGGGAAAAGCAAGAGUUACACCCAUCAAACAAAUGACCAUCCCAAGACUUGAACUGUCGUCGGCUGUAACUUCAGUCCGCAACGCGGAUGUAAUCAAACAAGAACUGGAAAUUGAAAAUCUACUAGAAUAUUAUUGGACAGAUUCACAAGUCGUACUGGCAUAUAUAAGCAAUGACGCUAAAAGAUUUCACACAUUCGUUGCCAAUCGGAUUCAACGAAUAAGACACAGUACGAGUCCUGACAAAUGGCAGCAUGUCUGCUCAGAAGAAAAUCCGGCUGAUCAGGCCUCGAGGGGUCUAACCGCUGCACAACUGAAAGAAUCAAACUGGUUGAAGGGUCCAGAUUUCCUUUGGAGAAAGAAUCUUCCAAUCAAAAGGGAAAUGGUGGGAGAAGUUGAAGAGACAGAUCCUGAACUUCGUGCAGGUCAUGCACACACCGUGCAGUCAAAAGAAGUGAACCCUGUUCUAGAGCGUCUAAAGAAGUUCUCUGAUUGGUCGAGAGCUGUAAAGGCUAUUGCCAGACUCAAACGAUGCAUAAAAGAGUUUAAAGGUGUUCAAGAAAGAACAAACAAAGUAACAGAUCUUGAAGAAAGAAGAGACACAGAAGUGUUCAUUAUCAAGCUAGUGCAAAGAGAAGCUUUCACUGAGGAAAUACAGAAAAUCAGAUCACAGAAGGAAAAUUCUCUGCACAAGCAUAACAGACUAAAGCAGCUAAAUGCUUUCUUGGACAAAUCCGAUGUUCUCAGGGUGGGAGGAAGAUUGUCUCAAUCAGCCUUGCAUCAUCAUGUCAAACAUCCUGCAAUUCUUCCCAAGGAGUCCCAUGUAUCAACCCUCAUCGUCAAACACUAUCAUGAACGUGUACAUCACCAAGGAAGAGGCAUGACCAUAAAUGAAUUGCGUGCAAAUGGCAUAUGGAUUCUAGGAUGUGGAAGUAUGGUCUCUAAGCACAUUUACCACUGUGUUAAAUGUAGGAGAUAUAGAAAGGCCACAAAUGUCCAACAGAUGGCAGAGUUACCAGAAGUAAGAACAAAAACAGCACCUCCUUUUACAUAUUGUGGUGUUGACUGUUUUGGCCCAUUCAUAGUAAAGGAAGGUAGAAAGGAAGUCAAAAGAUAUGGAUUAUUGUUCACCUGCUUAUGUUCACGAGCUGUGCAUAUUGAAACACUUGAUGACUUAUCAACUGAUGCUUUCAUGAGCGCUCUUCGGGUUCUGAUCGCCAUAAGAGGUCCUGUUCGACAAUUAAGAUGUGACCAAGGGACGAAUUUUGUGGGAGCCAGAAGAGAGUUUUUGGAGCUAAUGAAGGAUAUGGACCAAGAACCACAAAGAGCUAUUGGUUGCGAGUUUGUGAUGAACGUUCCAUCAGCUAGCCACAUGGGAGGCAUCUGGGAACGCCAAAUUCGGACAGUACGAAGCGUACUAACAGCAAUGUUAGAUAAAUUCUCAAACAGACUUGAUACAACUAGUCUAAGAACACUUCUUUACGAGACAAUGGCCAUCAUUAACAGCAGACCCUUAAGUAUAGAGUAUCUUAAUGAUCCCUUGGGUCCAGAGCCAUUAACUCCCAAUCACAUAUUAACGAUGAAGUCUUCAGUUAUUCUCCCCCCUCCAGGACAGUUUUGCAGAGAGGAUUUGUACUUGAACAAAAGAUGGAGAAGAGUACAAUUUCUAGCAAACGAGUUUUGGCAAAGAUGGAAACGAGAAUAUCUGCUAAAUCUCCAACAGCGACAGAAAUGGCAGAAAGUUUCACGGAACCUGCACAUUAAUGACAUUGUGAUCCUACAAGAUGACAAUGCUCCAAGAUGUAAAUGGAAACUAGCUCUAGUUGUAGAGACUCUAGAAAGCCCAGACGGCAAGGUUCGAAAGGUGAAACUAAAGACAAGUGAAACAACAUUUGACAAAGGAAAACCACUGACAAGGUUGAUAUAUUUAGAAAGACCUAUUCACAAGGUAGUGACAUUACUUGAGACUAAUACAGAGUAAAACAGACUCUACUCUUGACACUCAUUGGAAAAUCACAUUGAGAACCAAUUAGUGAUUUUGGUGGGAGUGUAAGUGUCAAUAAAAUAGUUUAUUUCUUGAAAAAAUGUAUGUUUAUUUCUGAAAGAUAGAAUAAUGUAUUUUAAGUUGUUUGGUUCACGUUUUAAGAUUUGUGUUAAAUGAUUGUAUUUUAUUUCGUGUCAAAUAAUUUUUUGUCGAAAGGUAUCGCGAGAUUUGUGUACAUGUGUGAGGCUGCGAGACUUAAGUAACCAUAGAAGAAGCAGAAGCUGGUGCCAGAGCUAUGUGUAGCAGCCUCGUGUCCUGUCGUUGUCAAGGUAUUUUGUAUUUAUGUUUGUAAUGUUUUGUGAAUUUAUUGGUUAUGGUGUUUUAAUUACUUAAUAUUUUGGUUUAGAGUGUACAACGACGAAUCAUUCUGUUAAAGACCUCCGAAGUGGCAGGCGGCCACGAGUUUUCACGGCAAAAAUUAAAGAGCCCGUCUUAAGAAAGCCGUGCCAGAGUUGUCACUUUGGAGCUACA